Molecule: transfer RNA, 83 nt
Filed under: Bacillota bacterium
Lineage: Bacteria; Bacillati; Bacillota
Also listed under: 1 other name
Description: Firmicutes bacterium tRNA-Leu
Rfam family: tRNA
About the family: Transfer RNA (tRNA) molecules are approximately 80 nucleotides in length. Their secondary structure includes four short double-helical elements and three loops (D, anti-codon, and T loops).
Source: RNAcentral
GCCGGAGUGGAGGAACUGGCAGACUCGCGGCACUCAAAAUGCCGUGGUCCUGGACCGUGUGGGUUCGAAUCCCACCUCCGGCA